Molecule: ribosomal RNA, 198 nt
Filed under: uncultured bacterium
Lineage: Bacteria
Description: partial 16S ribosomal RNA
Rfam family: Bacterial small subunit ribosomal RNA
Source: RNAcentral
ACGCUCGACACCUACGGGAGCAGCAGUCGGGAAUAUUGCGCAAUGGAGGAAACUCUGACGCAGUGACGCCGCGUAUAGGAAGAAGGUUUUCGGAUUGUAAACUAUUGUCGUUAGGGAAGAAAAAGGACAGUACCUAAGGAGGAAGCUCCGGCUAACUACGUGCCAGCAGCCGCGGUAAUCUGAGCGGGCUGGCAAGGC